Molecule: long non-coding RNA, 655 nt
Filed under: Zonotrichia albicollis (white-throated sparrow)
Lineage: Eukaryota; Metazoa; Chordata; Aves; Passeriformes; Passerellidae
Description: lncRNA (ENSZALG00000002872.1)
Source: RNAcentral
AUUCAUUCUCUCACACAGCGCUCUGAGGCCGUGGGACUGCGCCCUGGAGAAAGGCUCAGCUUGUGAACACCGUGAGGAAGAGGGCUGAGAGCUGUUUCCUGGGAAUAGCAGACUGAACGGCGGGGAAAGCUCUAACUACAAGAAGAAAAGACUGUUAAAGAUUAUGAAGAUUGACAAAGAGACCGAUGAAAAGCAUGGUAGUGGAGAGGGGCUGAUGCAGCUGGCAGGCUGCUAUUGCCUGCCUUUCUGCCUGCAGCCUCCUGAGCACUUGGGACAGAGAAUGACUGGAUUCAAGAAGGCAGCUUGAGUACCAACAUUCUGGGCAGCUCAGAUCAUCUUCAUCAUGUCUGAGAACAUCAAUAAAUCUUCACCCUCUCCUAUACAGCCUGAGGUUUUGAUGGAAUCUAUUUGCAGACCGAGUGCUGACGGCAGCUCAGGAACAGCCACGGCUGUGCCAUCUCCUCCCCUCUGCCAUUUGGAAAAACCGAAACUGUUGAGAAGCAGCAGUAAUGUGGGAUGCUGAAACAGGAAAGAAAUUGCUCUUUCAAUGAAAAUGACUUCAAGGCUAAUCCAACCACCACCUUCUUGGUGGUUCCAGUGAAUGCAGCUGUUGCUGGUUUUGACAGCUCUGGAGGCUGAAUGAUGAUCUACUGGC